Triticum aestivum (bread wheat) is the source of this 115-nucleotide non-coding RNA. The record is from Rfam. NCBI's taxonomy places the organism in Eukaryota, Viridiplantae, Streptophyta, Magnoliopsida, Poales, Poaceae.
GACCUACUCCCUCCAUUCAGAAUUACUUGUCGCGGAAAUGGAUGUAUCUAGAUGUAUUUUAGUUCUAGAUACAUCCAUUUCCGAGACAAGUAAUUCCGAACGGAGGGAGUAUCUU